This 503-nucleotide ribosomal RNA is filed under the name uncultured bacterium. Its description in RNAcentral is "partial 16S ribosomal RNA". It matches the Rfam family "Bacterial small subunit ribosomal RNA", at positions 28 to 523 of the family's 1533-position model. The record is from RNAcentral.
GACGAACGCUGGCGGCAGGCUUAACACAUGCAAGUCGAGCGGGGUGAUGGUGCUUGCACUAUCACUUAGCGGCGGACGGGUGAGUAAUGCUUAGGAAUCUGCCUAUUAGUGGGGGACAACAUCUCGAAAGGGAUGCUAAUACCGCAUACGUCCUACGGGAGAAAGCAGGGGAUCACUUGUGACCUUGCGCUAAUAGAUGAGCCUAAGUCGGAUUAGCUAGUUGGUGGGGUAAAGGCCUACCAAGGCGACGAUCUGUAGCGGGUCUGAGAGGAUGGUCCGCCAGACUGGGACUGAGACACGGACCAGACUCCUACGGGAGGCAGCAGUGGGGAAUAUUGGACAAUGGGGGGAACCCUGAUCCAGCCAUGCCGCGUGUGUGAAGAAGGCCUUAUGGUUGUAAAGCACUUUAAGCGAGGAGGAGGCUCUCUUGGUUAAUACCCAAGAUGAGUGGACGUUACUCGCAGAAUAAGCACCGGCUAACUCUGUGCCAGCAGCCGCUGUAA